RNAcentral lists this ribosomal RNA (553 nucleotides) under uncultured bacterium. RNAcentral's name for it is "partial 16S ribosomal RNA". It matches the Rfam family "Bacterial small subunit ribosomal RNA", at positions 355 to 902 of the family's 1533-position model. The record is from RNAcentral.
UGGGGAAUUUUGGACAAUGGGCGAAAGCCUGAUCCAGCAAUGCCGCGUGUGUGAAGAAGGCCUUCGGGUUGUAAAGCACUUUUGUCCGGAAAGAAAUCCUUGGCUCUAAUACAGUCGGGGGAUGACGGUACCGGAAGAAUAAGCACCGGCUAACUACGUGCCAGCAGCCGCGGUAAUACGUAGGGUGCAAGCGUUAAUCGGAAUUACUGGGCGUAAAGCGUGCGCAGGCGGUUUGCUAAGACCGAUGUGAAAUCCCCGGGCUCAACCUGGGAACUGCAUUGGUGACUGGCAGGCUAGAGUAUGGCAGAGGGGGGUAGAAUUCCACGUGUAGCAGUGAAAUGCGUAGAGAUGUGGAGGAAUACCGAUGGCGAAGGCAGCCCCCUGGCCAAUACUGACGCUCAUGCACGAAAGCGUGGGGAGCAAACAGGAUUAGAUACCCUGGUAGUCCACGCCCUAAACGAUGUCAACUAGUUGUUGGGGAUUCAUUUCCUUAGUAACGUAGCUAACGCGUGAAGUUGACCGCCUGGGGAGUACGGUCGCAAGAUUAAAACUC